CCUACGGGAGGCAGCAGUGAGGAAUAUUGGUCAAUGGGCGCGAGCCUGAACCAGCCAAGUCGCGUGAGGGAAGACGGUCCUAUGGAUUGUAAACCUCUUUUGUCGGGGAGCAAAAGACGCCACGCGUGGCGUUCCGAGAGUACCCGAAGAAAAAGCAUCGGCUAACUCCGUGCCAGCAGCCGCGGUAAUACGGAGGAUGCGAGCGUUAUCCGGAUUUAUGGGGUUUAAGGGGUGCGUAGGCGGAAUGCCAAGUCAGCGGUAAAAGCGCGGGGCUCAACCUCGCUCCGCCGUUGAAACUGGCGUUCUUGAGUGGGCGAGAAGUAUGCGGAAUGCGUGGUGUAGCGGUGAAAUGCAUAGAUAUCACGCAGAACUCCGAUUGCGAAGGCAGCAUACCGGCGCCCAACUGACGCUGAAGCACGAAGGCGUGGGUAUCGAACAGGAUUAGAUACCCUUGUAGUC
Molecule: ribosomal RNA, 459 nt
Filed under: uncultured bacterium
Lineage: Bacteria
Description: partial 16S ribosomal RNA
Rfam family: Bacterial small subunit ribosomal RNA
Source: RNAcentral